Molecule: non-coding RNA, 135 nt
Organism: Triticum urartu
Lineage: Eukaryota; Viridiplantae; Streptophyta; Magnoliopsida; Poales; Poaceae
Source: Rfam
UUUGUACUCCCUCUUUCCCAAAAUUCUUGUCUUAAACUUGUCUAAAUACGGAUGUAUCUAGUUACAUUUUAGUGUUAGAUACAUCCGAAUCUAAACAAAUGUAAGACAAGAUUUUUGGGACGGAGGGAAUACUAC